AUUGAACGCUGGCGGCAUGCCUUACACAUGCAAGUCGAACGGUAACAGGUCUUCGGAUGCUGACGAGUGGCGAACGGGUGAGUAAUACAUCGGAACGUGCCUAGGAGUGGGGGAUAACUACUCGAAAGAGUGGCUAAUACCGCAUGAGAUCUACGGAUGAAAGCAGGGGAUCGCAAGACCUUGUGCUACUAGAGCGGCCGAUGGCAGAUUAGGUAGUUGGUGGGAUAAAAGCUUACCAAGCCGACGAUCUGUAGCUGGUCUGAGAGGACGAUCAGCCACACUGGGACUGAGACACGGCCCAGACGCCUACGGGGGGCAGCAGUGGGGAAUUUUGGACAAUGGGCGAAAGCCUGAUCCAGCAAUGCCGCGUGCAGGAUGAAGGCCUUCGGGUUGUAAACUGCUUUUGUACGGAACGAAAAGCCCUGGGUUAAUACCCUGGGGUCAUGACGGUACCGUAAGAAGAAGGACCGGCCAACUACGUGCCAGCAGCCGCCGUAA
This 498-nucleotide ribosomal RNA is filed under the name uncultured bacterium. RNAcentral describes it as "partial 16S ribosomal RNA". It matches the Rfam family "Bacterial small subunit ribosomal RNA", at positions 30 to 523 of the family's 1533-position model. The record is from RNAcentral.